GUGAGCGGCAAAAGCUCAAAUUUGAAACCCUCGGGAUUGUAAUUUGAAGAUUUGGCAUUGGAGAAAGCUAACCCAAGUUGCUUGGAAUAGUACGUCAUAGAGGGUGACAACCCCGUCUGGCUAACCGUUCUCCAUGUAUUGCCUUAUCAAAGAGUCGAGUUGUUUGGGAAUGCAGCUCAAAGUGGGUGGUAAACUCCAUCUGAAGCUAAAUACUGGUGAGAGACCGAUAGCGAACAAGUACUGUGAAGGAAAGGUGAAAAGAACUUUGAAAAGAGAGUGAAAUAGUAUGUGAAAUUGUUGAUAGGGAAGGAAAUGAGUGGAGAGUGGCCGAGGUUUCAGCCGCCCCUCGUGGGCGGUGUACUGCCGACGCCGAGUCAUCGAUAGCGAGACGAGGGUUACAAAUGGGAGCGCCUUUCGGGCGUUCUCCCCUAACCCUCCACACUGCCACCGACAACAUA
RNAcentral lists this ribosomal RNA (458 nucleotides) under Yarrowia lipolytica. Its description in RNAcentral is "partial large subunit ribosomal RNA". It matches the Rfam family "Eukaryotic large subunit ribosomal RNA", at positions 93 to 513 of the family's 3401-position model. The record is from RNAcentral. Lineage: Eukaryota; Fungi; Ascomycota; Dipodascomycetes; Dipodascales.